RNAcentral lists this non-coding RNA (795 nucleotides) under Palaeocimbex sp. CSCS-Hym-MC0161. The record is from RNAcentral. Lineage: Eukaryota; Metazoa; Arthropoda; Insecta; Hymenoptera; Cimbicidae.
UAAAAGUUUGAUUUUAGCUUAAAUAUUUAGUUAAUGAUUAUUUUGCAUGUAAAUUUUUGUGAGAUUAGUAUUAUUUUUAAAUAAUUUAAUAUAAUAAUUUUAUUUGCAGCAAUUAAUUUUAAUAAUUAAAUAAUUUUAGAAUUAUUAAUUAUUUUAAUAUAAGCAAAUUUUGUGCCAGCGGCUGCGGUUAAACAAAUUAUAUAAUUAAAUAUCUAUUAAUUUACAAUUUUUAUUAAUUUAUUUAAAUUUAAUUAAAUUAAAAAUUAAGUGAAAUUUUUUUUAAUUAUUAAGAAUUUAAAAGUAUUUAUUUAAAUUGUAAGCUCUAAAAUUUAAACUAGGAUUAGAUACCCUAUUAUUUUAGAAUUAAAAAUAAAAAUUUUAGGGAUUAAUAGUUAUAUUCUUUAAACUUAAAGAAAUUGGCGGUAUUUAAAACUAAUUAGGGGAAUUUGUUUUUUAAUCGUUAAUACUCAAAAAACCUUACUUUAAUUUUUUAUUUGUUUAUUGUCGUUAUCAAAAUAUUUUAAUAGAAUAAUUAAUUUUUAAUAAUUUUUAUUUAAAAAUUUAUUUCAGAUCAUGAUGCAGUUUAUAUUAAAGUUAAAAUUAAUUACAAUAAAUUUUAUUUAAAUGGAUAUAUAAUUGAAAUAUUAUAUUAGAAAGUGGACUUAAUAGUAAAAUUAUUUAAUUAUGUUAAUUUGAAUUUAGAAUUAAAUAUGUACAAAUUGCCCGUCACUCUCGUUUUAAAAUGAGAUAAGUCGUAACAAAGUAAGUGUAUUGGAAAAUGUGCUUAGUUAUUUU